UACUGUAUCUGUUGGUAGCAUUCAUUGUGGCAUUAUUUCGAGGCUGUUCAAACACAAUGCACUAGACCAAGUGGAACUCCUUACCAAGUGUUAUCACAUAAGAAGAUUGCACAACUCUGCAUAUAAAAAGUUUAGCCUUGGAUAAGGUUCAUAUCCAAGCUAAGUUGUGGUUUAAUAGUUAUUUAUUACCCUGUGGGUUGCCAUUACCUUACGAUUUCACGUACUACCGUAUAUUCACCACUCUAACCACAUAAUAUUGUAUAGCGGGAAUAUUUGGCGAAUGAGCUAUUUGAAGUUUUUGAACCAAAUUAGCGUUUUUAAUUGUGCGUCUUAGGCAAAUUUACGGUAUGAUGUUAAAAUGACCAGCAAACUUUAAUUUGGCAGUUUUAAAAUUUGGCGAUCUGUGGUAAAAUUCGCCAAAUCGCCAAAUUUUCCCAUUACGUGUAUACAGUACCGUAAUACCUCUAAUUAAGGCAGCCCUCCAAAUACGCGACACACCUGAGUUUACGUAAUUUUCUGAUCUCUAAAAGUAGCGACAGCUGCGUUGACAACUAUUUUUAAUGUUGCAUCCUAAAUGGAGGUAAAUAUAGCCACACCUAGCCUAUUCUAGCCCACUGUAAAAUAUACAUUUUUAAGCGGCUAGAAAUCGAGGCAAGUAGACUGAGUAGAGCUACCUCCAAUUAGAUGCGGGACCCUAGGUAUUCAACAUAAUUUUUCAACCUCUAAAAGAAGCGACCUCUGGCUUCGUAAUUAUUAAAAAGUGUCGCCUUAAUUAGAGGUAUUUUACGUUGAAAACACCGGCUCUCGUCUGAUCACCGAAGUUAAGCAACGUCACAUGUUUUGCAUAUAAGUGGUGCCUUUAAUAAAUAGGAUGAAUACUAUGCUUGUAUACUGAGAUUUGGACGUGUAUAUACCUCGGGCCGAGAGCUUGCCAUUCUCAGUACAUACACUCUUAUGUUUGAUGUCUGGUAAUUAUUUUUAAGGAGUGAACACUGCUCUGACCAUAUGGGACUCAGGAACUCUAGCCACUGGGAUCGUUGUAUUAUAAUAUUAGUCACAUCCUCGUAACGGUUCCCCUGAAGAAAGACACUAGACACCCACGUGCAGGUCCCAAUGAACAGUAGUGUGCAAAGCAAUCCCUCAACAAAAGUUACCUUUGUAUAACAUCCAAAAAAAUUUUCUUUAGAGUCAAAGGUGUCUGUUAGAAGAGAUUCCACUGUAUAAGUAGUAUGUUGUGCUUGUGUGUGAAUCCACAUCGUAAACUUUUUUACACUAGAUACAAAAUGACUGGCAACUGCUCUAAGAGAGUACUCUAUUAUAGCUACCAGCUGCUCUGAUGGAGACUUUAGAGGGGCUUUAAUACCUACCAGAUUUAGAAGGAUGCUACAUGUUUAGAUACCAGCUAGCUGCUCUACCAUACUAGCUACUACAGCCUGGCUAAUUAGAAAAGAAACGGUAAGCCAAUCACAUACAAUGUACAUGCUGCUGCCUGUAUGGUAUAACAUAGUUAGUGUUAACCCUAUCCCCUCCCUCAAAUUGUGGAGGCUGAGGUUGAUAUCAGGUACGAGUUCACCCUGGAGAGCAUUGUUAGGUACAAAUAGAUGUAGGAUUCACAUGACUACAUGUAUAAUUAACCCUGGAGAUGAUAGUUAAGCAAUCCAAACUAGGACAGGACUGUCUACUGGUCACACUGCGCUAACCUAACAGGUAACCACUAGUACUGGUACUCGUAGUUGACUGAAAUUUAACCAUAAAAGGAACAAAACAAUUGCGCAUGUGUACUGCACAUUGUGUGUGACAGUGUGUACUAAAACUAAGCUAGCCUUUUAAAUUAUGCUGUUGAUUGCGGAUUUCAGUACUCUUUUGUGUAUGGUAUGGUAUGGUAUUCACACCCUCCUCCAAACUCCCAUUUCAUACCAUGUCAUGCAAUGACCCUGAUUUUCGUUAGUUUGUACAAGACAAAGGUAACUCCCACCCUCUCCCAAGGAAGAUGCAUGAGGGUGUGUGUAUGAAAAAGCCCUGGGAAUCAUUGGGACAAGUCUCUCAAAUUUCUCUGUCAGAAGUUGUCAUGCUCUUCCUCAUAACACAGUCCCCUGAGCACUCUUGGCCACCAAAGUAUUGAUGUCCAUUUCCACUGCACAGAACAGUAGACUUGAGAGAAGGUUCACCUUCAACUUUAAGGAGCUGGUUUGCUAUGGACCUCAAGCCUCUCUCAGUGACUGUGCAGGUCCCAACUUGUGUCUAUACUAGAGCAGGGAGAGGUGUGAGCUGUCGUUAUGUAAUACUGUUUUAAUUUGUAAUUCCCGUUUGUUGGUGGCAAUGUAGCCAAAUUAAAA
Long non-coding RNA from Halichondria panicea, 2336 nucleotides. RefSeq lists it as uncharacterized. The transcript is spliced from 2 exons. NCBI's taxonomy places the organism in Eukaryota, Metazoa, Porifera, Demospongiae, Suberitida, Halichondriidae. The record is from RefSeq and is a predicted model, not a curated record.